UGGAGGCAGCAGUGGGGAAUUGUUCGCAAUGGGCGAAAGCCUGACGACGCAACGCCGCGUGGAGGAUGAAGGUCUUCGGAUUGUAAACUCCUGUUGAUCGGGAAGAACUCCCCUGGGGAUAACACCCUCAGGGGUUGACGGUACCGGUUGAGGAAGCCCCGGCUAACUCUGUGCCAGCAGCCGCGGUAAUACAGAGGGGGCGAGCGUUGUUCGGAAUUACUGGGCGUAAAGGGCGCGUAGGCGGCCGACUAAGUCAGACGUGAAAUCCCCAGGCUCAACCUGGGAACUGCGUCUGAUACUGGACGGCUCGAAUCCGGGAGAGGGAUGUGGAAUUCCAGGUGUAGCGGUGAAAUGCGUAGAUAUCUGGGGGAACACCGGUGGCGAAGGCGGCAUCCUGGACCGGCAUUGACGCUGAGGGCGCGAAAGCCAGGGGAGCAAACGGGAUUAGAAACCCCUGUAGUCCC
RNAcentral lists this ribosomal RNA (464 nucleotides) under uncultured bacterium. RNAcentral's name for it is "bacterial SSU rRNA". It matches the Rfam family "Bacterial small subunit ribosomal RNA", at positions 343 to 797 of the family's 1533-position model. The record is from RNAcentral.